Carassius gibelio (silver crucian carp) is the source of this 1077-nucleotide long non-coding RNA. RefSeq lists it as uncharacterized. The record is from RefSeq and is a predicted model, not a curated record. The transcript is spliced from 3 exons. NCBI's taxonomy places the organism in Eukaryota, Metazoa, Chordata, Actinopteri, Cypriniformes, Cyprinidae.
CACAACGCUACACAAACCGUAAGGCGAAACCUAGAAUGUUUGGUAUCGUUGGACUCGGUAAGGUUUCAGGAGUCCAAUUUGGUGAGUCUCGAGAAAAUAAGUCGACCACACCCAAGGUUAUAAGCAUUUAAAAAAGGAUGAUCACCACUAGGUGGCGCUGUUUCGAAACUUCUCACGCUCCUUCAGGACAUUGUGCUGAUGACCCAUACCAUGUUUCGUAACAAUCCGUUGAUGCGUUCUGAAAAUACAGCAUUUUAGCACAAAAUUCAAAAUGGCCGACAGUCAAAAUGGCCGAGAUGGUAAAAUUGGAUAUCAGUCGACUCGGCAUGUUGCCCUGAAUCUAACAAGACCAAUGUUAUGAUUUUUGGACAAACUGUUUAGAAGUUAUAAGCAAAAAUAGCAAUUUUCCAUAUCUCUGGACCAGUAGGUGGCGCUGCGCCGAAACGCAGCAAGUAGCCUCAGGUCAUACUUGUUAUGACAUGUACCAGGUUUGGUCUGAAUACGAUAAAUUGUUGCAGAGAUACAGCCUAACGACUGUUUUUGUAAGCGUUUCGUAAAAUUUGUUUGAGCGUUUAUCGAAAACGGUUUGACAAAUCAAUUUGAUUUGCAUAACUUUUGGUCAGCACUGCCUGAAGAUGAUCUGGUUCAAUUUUCGUGUGAAUCGGACAAACCGUCUAGGACGAGUUCGAAAAAGUAGGUUUUUCAAAAAAUUCUAAUUGGCGGCCAUAUUUAUAUGAUGGAAAAUGACAUCAUAGGGUGCAAUCGAAUUGGCAUGAGCUCAGAAAUCAGAGGAAAAAAGAAUUUUGUUGAUUGGCCUUACGGUUAAAAAGUUAUUAACAAAAUUAAAGUGAAAUUUUGGACAGUUGGUGGCGCUAGAGGGAAUGUCUUAGACACACCAAAAUUGGUGUAUUUAAUGUUGGCACUGUCCUCUAUCAGAAUGUCAAACCAAAACAACUUUCCCGCAUUCGGUUCUAUGGGCUGCCAUAGACUCCCAGUCGGAAGAAUAAUAAUAAUAAUAAUAAGAACGCCAACAAAAACAAUAGGUGCCUCGCACCUUCGGUGCUUGGCCCCUAAUAA